UACGUGGAGUCCAAGCGUUAUCCGGAUUUACUGGGCGUAAAGCGUCUGUAGGUGUCUCGUUAAGUCUUCGGUGAAAUCUCCGGGCCCAACUCGGAAACUGUCGAGGAAACUAGCGGGAUCGAGUGCGGUAGAGGUAGAUGGAAUUCCUGGUGUAGGGGUAAAAUCCGUUGAUAUCAGGAAGAACACCAGUGGCGAAGGCGAUCUACUGGGCCGUUACUGACACUGAGAGACGAAAGCGUGGGGAGCGAACGGG
This 253-nucleotide ribosomal RNA is filed under the name uncultured bacterium. RNAcentral's name for it is "partial 16S ribosomal RNA". It matches the Rfam family "Bacterial small subunit ribosomal RNA", at positions 524 to 776 of the family's 1533-position model. The record is from RNAcentral.